RNAcentral lists this long non-coding RNA (2744 nucleotides) under Musa acuminata (dwarf banana). RNAcentral describes it as "long non-coding RNA (MACU_LNC003309)". Lineage: Eukaryota; Viridiplantae; Streptophyta; Magnoliopsida; Zingiberales; Musaceae. The record is from RNAcentral.
ACGGAUUCCAGUGGCCAGGUAACGCUGGUGGUUGCCGGUAAGGGUGCCAGCGACAUGAAUGGGUUCAUCACAGUCCCGGCAAAAUAGGGCUCGAUCCUCGACACAGAAUAUGAAAGCUGCCUUCUCCUAGAAAAUACAUGGAGACAACAAAAAAAUUGAUAUGAAUCAUCAUCACAUGCUCUAAAUACUGUUGAAGUGUAUCAAUGUACAUAUUUACUUGGAUACUAGUAGUAUCUUUCCAGAAUUUGCUGCUACUCACUAUUACUAGUUUGCAAACAGUGAUAUUCUUGUUUUAUAAGCUGACCAUCUGCUUAAUUCUGCCUGUGCAGUGGCAUUGGUCGAUAAAGGUCAAUAUGGGGAGUCUAAUAAUAGCUUUUCUGAGGUCCUGAGAUUUCCUAUGAUCCCUGGAAUCCUGGUGUUUUUAUCAACUGAGAUGAUCAAGCAGGUAUGACUUGCUCAGAUUUGUAUUUCUUGAGUGAAUGAUGGGUCGAUACCUCAGUUCAUUUGCCAGAGCUGAAAUGAAACACACAAUGCUGAUGACAUCUGAUCACCAUUGGGUUAAUCAGUCCAUAACUGUGUGAUUAAAUUAGGUGCAGAUAAUUUGCUAAAAAAGAGACAAAAGAUGGUUAGCAAAGGCCGACGACCGCUAAAUUCUGUUAAAUAGAUGCAGUUCUGAUGUUGCUCGUUUUUUUACAGACGUGCAGAGAAGGUUUUAGAUAAGUAAAGACUAAGAACAAGAAAGAUAUGCGGAUGAGUGUCAUGGUCAUAAAUCAAACAUGUUGAAGAACUCGAGAAUCUUACUGAACUUUAAGAUCAUUUUUAAGAGGAAUUCUUUUUCCAGUCAAUUCCUUUUCAGCCAAACCCUUUGCUUUCUGUUCAUGCAGCAUGACUGUAUGUUUUGCAUUCGGCACACAACUUUAUCUAGCACCAAAUGUAUUAUUGUUGGCAUUUCAAAUUCUUUCAGGCAGAAGGAUUGAAGUAGUCAAGUGACACAGAACCAAGAAAUAUGAAUCUAAUCAGGUGCAUAACAAGGAUAUCAUGUCGUUGGAAGCUGGAAAGAUGUUGGUUUGAAGUAAUAAUUUGAGAAAUAUUGUUUCAGAAGACCCUAUGGCGAAAAUUGCACGCCUUAAGCUAAAAAUGUUCAAGCAAAGACAUGCAAUUCUUCGUAUGACUUCAAUCUGCUUAGAUUUUUUCCUCUUUCAUCUUCUUCAGCCUUCUUUUUCUUUCUUAACAAAACAUGGCCUCUAGGGAGCUUUCUCCAUUCUUGCUGCCAGCGCAAAUCAUUAAUCAUGAUGUUCCAGAUGCUAUCGAUGAGAAAGAAUCCUACAAACUUGUUGCAAUAUUGAAUAAAAUGGCAAGCAUCUCAUAGAUCAUUACCAACAUACUUUUGGAAUGUCAUAUUUUGCUGGAAAAAUGUGUAAAAUUUUCCAUUGUGCAUAUCUCCAGAGAAAGCUAAUCAAGUAGAUGACUUGUUAGCUGAUUAUGCUAGGCAGGUAGGCCUUCCAAUUGAGCUUGGAUCCAUUCUUGCAAGCAAUGCUCUUAAAGAUAUGGUGAUCAUCUUGUUUCAAAUUAUAAAAAAAAAAAAGUUUCCAUAUUCUAAAGGUAAGAACCUCUUUGGUUAAGACAAUCAUCAAGGUGUUCUUUUUCCCCUGAAUUGAACACCUAGUUGAAUGGAUAUAAUUAAUUCAAAAAACUGUGGUUUAAUUAAUCUAAGAUCUUAUGUUUCCUUGAAUAAGAAGGAUGAAAAAAAUAUUAAUUUGUAACCAAGCAAAUAGACAGCAAUAUGAUGCUUGUAUCCUGAUACUCCACAAGCACAGAGGAAGCUAUCACUGAUAACUAGCUUGUAGGUGGGUGCUUGACCUUUGUUUCAGUACCAUUCCUACAAAAUUUUCAGACUCCAUUUCAAAUGUGAAUAAAAAAAAAGACUAUGCUCUCAAUAAGCAACAUCAUGUUAUAGCCCCAUAAAUCCACUUGCAUAUUUUCCCCAAAGGAAGAGAUAAGAACCACACUCAAACACUAAGAAGAUAUUCCUGAUGACUCUGCCAUUCUGAAAGCUUAUCGAAUCUAACUAGGAAAAUGCUACACUUAUCUUAUGGAUAACUUUAUUGUGAGUAUCCAUUGAAUCAAAUGAAUUAAAAGUCCUCCUUCAUAAUUACUUGAUUGAUUUUGAACCCUCCUAACCUUGAGUUAUAUAUUUAGCUGUGGUAUUAACCAUUGUGCUAAUAUCUUGAUUACCAUAGGAAGGCCCCUCUGUUUUGUGUCUAAUAUCUCUUUCUGUAUGAUUCAAAUCCAUUUACUAGAGUUCCAAUUCUGACAUCACAAGUUUACUGCAAUGAAGAAAUACCAGAUUGAUAUCUGUUUCGAGGUAAUGGUGCCCCAAAAAUGAGAAGAAUUGAUCUACAUGCUAUUAUAGAUGAUUUGAAGGACUCAGAAUAAUGUUGAAACUACAGAAUAAACUGUCAAGCUUUAGCAUGUCAAGAUUUGAACUCCCUUGUCUAAGUUGCUCACCUCAUGCUGCAAGAGAGAUGACUGAGAGCAUGAGAGGAGAGAAAGGCAAGGCAAAAGGGGAGGGGGGGGUGUUCAGUUGAGUAUAGUACUUGGCAGAUGUCACAGCGAGGGAGCUUGUUGGAGAGGCAGUCGAGGCGAAGCCUCUGGUGCUUGCUCGCCAGCUUGUUCGCCAAGUGGAUCUCGACGUCGCAGCUGGCGCAAAGGGCGGCCUCGUCGGCGCAGCAUAUCAGCGUCGC